Molecule: ribosomal RNA, 498 nt
Filed under: uncultured bacterium
Lineage: Bacteria
Description: partial 16S ribosomal RNA
Rfam family: Bacterial small subunit ribosomal RNA
Source: RNAcentral
AUUGAACGCUGGCGGCAUGCCUUACACAUGCAAGUCGAACGGUAACAGGUCUUCGGAUGCUGACGAGUGGCGAACGGGUGAGUAAUACAUCGGAACGUGCCUAGUAGUGGGGGAUAACUACUCGAAAGAGUGGCUAAUACCGCAUGAGAUCUACGGAUGAAAGCAGGGGAUCGCAAGACCUUGUGCUACUAGAGCGGCCGAUGGCAGAUUAGGUAGUUGGUGGGAUAAAAGCUUACCAAGCCGACGAUCUGUAGCUGGGCUGAGAGGACGAUCAGCCACACUGGGACUGAGACACGGACCAGACUCCUACGGGAGGCAGCAGUGGGGAAUUUUGGACAAUGGGCGCAAGCCUGAUCCAGCAAUGCCGCGUGCAGGAUGAAGGCCUUCGGGUUGUAAACUGCUUUUGUACGGAACGAAAAGCCCCGGGUUAAUACCCUGGGGUCAUGACGGUACCGUAAGAAUAAGCACCGGCUAACUACGUGCCAGCCGCCGCCGUAA